ACUUAAUACACACACAAAAGCAAGCCCUCUCCUCUAAAUCUUCAAUGGAGGAACCAAGUUCAGCCUCAGAAGAUCAAGUUGUAUCACCUACUUUCAGCCCUCUUGUCAUAUGUGUUGCAGAAGCGUCUAAGUUUGCUAACUUUUGAAUCUGGAAGCUUUACAUUGCCUGAGAAGUCAUCAUAUCACUAUAUGUAUGCAAUACACUAAACUAUAUCAUGCAAACUUGGAUGCAGGAUUGCUAUCUGCUUUGGUUGAAUCAGUCUUCUCUGAGAGACUUGGUGAUUGUUGUUGCGUAGUAAAUGGUUCUGGGAAUUUCAUGGAGCAUUUCACACCAACAAACUCAACAAACUUGCAUUAUUUCUACUGCUAGAAAAGCUAGGCCUAUUGAUAGUUCUUUUGCAAGUAUUCUUGAUGAUGUUAAACGACUUUUAAGGACUGGGGAUAGUGGCAAUAAUGCUGGCAUAACCUGGGCAUUUUCUUCCUCAAUUAUUUGCAUGUUGCCUGAUGAGAUACUGAAAUUUUUUCCGUCAGUUAUGACUAUUUCCCACAACCUUCUUGGAGUUUCUAUCUCAGUCUUAUCAUCAGUAUUCUUUCUUGAACAAAGCCUUCUUGCCAGCAUUUCUCAGUUAUGGCCUGACAUGAUCAUCCCUGGUAUGGAAACGACUCUUCUGUUGUUCAUUGUGAAGUCAGAAGAGAUGAUGCCAGUGCAGUUUCUGGUUAUUCUUUGGAUUCUCAGGAAUCUAUUUACAGUGGAUAUCUUGAUGCAAGUGAAUCUGCUGGUGCUGCAUUUAGUUUAUUUUUGAAGCAGCCACCUUUCCAUGUGCCAUUUCCUACAAUUAUGAUUAUGAACAUCGUUGGUCCUUGAUUGUUGGAGCCCUUGAAGACACAAGACAUGCUUCUGGCUAAACUAUCUUACUCAAAAACUGAUUGCUAUCUUACUGCUAUUUUGGAUCCAUUGACUACAAUCAUCUUAUAGAAUUAAACCAUUAUUUGAACUCCAAUGACUUGGAGAGAUUUGCUUCAAUCUCGUAAAGAACUUUUUAGUUCAACUAUUGGUUUUGAAAACUGAUUGUGCUUGUUCCAGAAAUUCUGGGGUUCCUUUCUCAAGACUAGAUACUCAAAAAUUGGUUCAAUCUAUCUUCUGUCACCCUGUACUGGUAGCAUUAUUAUCCUGUUCUUCGGAUUGUAAAGAAGUGUUUUUUAUUUUUUAUUUUAUGAAUGAUUGUAAAGAAGAGUUAGCAAAUGGAGAUGUACUGGGUACUUUGGAUAUGCUGAUUAGUUUAUCCAGGCAGAGAGUUCAUAAAUUGGAUCAUCAUUUUUCAAGAUAUUAACAACUUCUGAAUACUUGUUGACAUUAUGCAAUGUCCAAUAUUUUGUCCCAAAGAUAAUAAAAGUGCUAAUAUGCAACUUGUGAGGGCUUUUAAUGCCCUGGACCGAGGCUAUCUCUGAAAGCUAGGUAAAAGUUUGAUCUGUGCAUUUGUUCUAAGCCAGGGAAAAGCCCUCACUAGUGCUUUACAUGCUCUCCUAUUGGUUUACAUCCCCUUUUGAACUUCUUGAAUUAGCACAAUGGAUGUUUAAUAGGGUUGAGAUUGAUGAUUUGACAGUUUGCAAAACAUCAAAGAUAUCUACUCCCUUUGUUGGGUUUUGUGUUUGCUGCUAGUGCUUUCAAAACUCUGGCUGGUUAUUUGGACCAGUUGGAUACGAAGAGAGUACCUUACAAUUUGUUGUGGGAAAUAGAAGAAGUGAAUAUCAACAUCAACAUAAUUGAGGCGAUCUAUUUUAAAGUAGUUAUGUUUGCAUUGCAUUUUGAUUCAGAUUUUCCAAAUAUAUGCUUUCUGGAAGCUGAUAAUGUUGGUUACAAACAGAAAUACAUGCAACAACAUAGUAUUCAUCCAAUAAGUUUACUAAUGUCGAGGUUUAUAAUGUUUACUCCUUUGGAAGUUCUUUCUCACUGCAUUUACAAGACAAGCAAGACUAAAUCUAUAUUAUUUUUUCUUCUUACUGAGACAAGCUCCCUACAUUUUCAACCUUUGGGCACUUUUAUUUUUGGGUAUUCUGAACAAGGAUUUGCCUCACAAGGGCAACUUGAUGGAAGAAAACUGUGGCCUUAUUCUUUCUGAUGAGGACUUUAUGAUGCUUCUGCCUGCUGUGUUGUCUUCUCUGAACUCAAUUCUGGAUCAGCACCAUAGUCUUUUUGGAAUCACACCACCUUUAAAUUCAAGGAUUCUUUUGAAUGGUUUCCUUCACUGGGGGAGCUUUGUCUCUAAGGAUAUAUUAGAGGAAGAAUCUGCCAUCAUCUACCAAGAACCUUUCUGUCUUGUUGAUGGUUGUCUCCUAGGAAAAUCUAUUCAUAUGUUGCAGUAUCACUUUUCCUUCAGUGGAGUUCCAAUGAAAUUGAAGAAGCAAUUGAAGCCAUUUGAUAAAUAUUCUCACAAUCUACUUCACACAAUGAUCUGUUAGAUUGUGAUAUUGGUCGGAUGGAUUCUCAUUCACUUAAUUAGUCAUUAAACCAUAUAAAUAGAGUUGUUGCAAAGAUGUCUUUUGGUAAGAUUUUAUUAUUUCUGGAAAAUAAUCAGAUUCAUACUCUGCCAAAGGAAGCAGAUGGUGACGUGAAGGAAGUUCCUUUCGAAAUGGGAUCAAAUUUAGACUUAUCAAGAAUGUGGUUUACAAACAAUCUGGUCAGUGGUUGGCAAUUGGCGGUUAACAAAUUCCCUUUAGUCACUAAUAGUUCUGCAAGGAGAGAGACCAUAGAUGGUUCUAACCCUUUAUAAAUGGAAGUCUUCAUACUGAACAGUAUUUUUAAAAUAAUCACAGUGAUGCAUGAUGGACUAGCAAUUGACCAGAUCAGCUCUUUUAUAUAGGUCUGAGGAUCCCACAACUCUGACAAGAGUCUGUGGCAUCCUAAUGUUGCUGUCUGAUGGAAUGUUUUCAUGUGCCCCAUACCUUCAGCUGCUGCUUGCCCACUCUCAGUCUGCAUUCUUUCAGUCUCCAAAGCAUCUGGUUGUUCUCCUAUUGGUGUAUUAAAGAUCAAUUGUUAUCCCUUCCACUAAAGAAGAUGCAUUCAGUGGCUAGCACAAUUUGGAAACAACUGAACUGUACACAAAGCAGAUUGAAGUUAUUAAACUAUUCAGCAUACCCUUUCCAGUCAAGGCUCUUCAAUGUGGUUUUGAUUCUAGACAAGAUUUGGGCAUAAAUUUAAGAGAAUUGCAUUUACUGCUUUUGUCUUCUUUAUGGUUAUACAAUUUUAUGCAUGAAAUUGAGUCUAUAAAUGGAUCAGACUCUGUGACUAUUGCUGAAAUGGAUUACUUAUGGGGAAGUGCUGCUUUAAAAGCUAAAAAAGAAUGAGCUGUGGAGCUAUCUUUGGGUAUUAUGACAGACGCUGAAGCAGCUGAACAUUGGAAAAGUCAAUUUAGAGAAAACUAUUCAAUUGACUGAAAAAUGUGUGCAUCAACAGUGCUUUAUUUUCCUUAUGAUGCUACCUCAUGUGAUGAACCAUUAUCCUGGAACAUGUUUCAACCAUUAUGCUGCCAUAAUCCCAUUUUGGUGAGCAGCUUUUGGGUGAUUCGGGGCUUGACUUUUA
This is a long non-coding RNA of Quercus lobata, 3580 nucleotides long. RefSeq lists it as uncharacterized. The record is from RefSeq and is a predicted model, not a curated record. The transcript has 3 exons. NCBI's taxonomy places the organism in Eukaryota, Viridiplantae, Streptophyta, Magnoliopsida, Fagales, Fagaceae.